Molecule: RNA transcript, 1677 nt
Organism: Mangifera indica (mango)
Lineage: Eukaryota; Viridiplantae; Streptophyta; Magnoliopsida; Sapindales; Anacardiaceae
Gene name: Holliday junction resolvase MOC1, chloroplastic-like
Exons: 8
Source: RefSeq, a predicted model, not a curated record
AUAAUAAAGUGAGUAUUCAAAAUCAGAUUACUCUGAAAUUGAAUCCCACUCUGUUAAUGGGUACACUGCUACAUUCCCAGAUCCAUCCCAACCUACAAACCCAUUAUGGUUUCCAUUACAUCCUCACCUUCUCCUCCAAACUCAGACCUAUUUUUGCAAAAACAUUCUCUACAUUUACAAACAGACGUAUAAGUUCAAGUGGACCAUCAGAGAUUAGGGCUACUAAGGUCUCCGAUGCCACCCGAUUUAAACAAAACUGGCUCGAUUCUCUCACUAUCCCUCCUCUUGAAAUCAAAACCCAAACCAUUGAUGAUUCCAACUGGGUUCUGGGUAUCGACCCGGAUCUUUCCGGUGCUAUUGCCGUCUUGAAAACCAACCAAACCGGUUCGUCGGCUCAGGUAUUUGAUUCUCCUCACUUGCCAAUUUUGGUUGGUGGAAGAGUUCGAAAACGUUUAGAUGCCAAGGCCAUUGUUCUGUUGCUUCGGAGCUUAGAUGCUCCAGUUGGAACAACUGCAUAUAUAGAGCAAUCAACCCCUUAUCCAAAAGAUGGGAAACAGGGUUGGUGGUCUGGAGGAUUUGGAUAUGGAUUAUGGAUUGGGAUAUUAGUUGCCUCUGGCUUUUCUGUAGUUCCAGUAACAUCUGCGACGUGGAAGAAUGAGUUUGAACUGUCAGGAAGUACCGCUGCAAAGGAUGAUAGUAGGAGGCUUGCAUCCACAUUAUUUCCAUCUUUGAGUUCCCAACUGAGACGGAAAAAGGAUCAUGGAUUAUCUAUUGGGGCCAAUUCCUAAUCUCUUCAGAUCUUCAAGGAGCCAGUGCUUGCUUGAGUAGCCCCUUUGAGUUUUUUCAAUUAGACCGGUAAAAUUAUGUUGGUUGUUAUGUCUUGCUAGGUUUUCAUAUAGAUCAAAUGAAAUGAGGAGCAAAAUUCUUGUGUCAAGCCUCUGGAAUUGCCAUGAAAAGUAAAUCAACACAAUUGGGGCAGGGAUCAGUCCGUUUCGGACGAGCUUAUAAUGGGUUGACUCAUCUCAAAUGUUCGAUGGCUCCAAAAAAAACACAGCUAAGGCAAGAGAUAACAAAAAUAAGCUGCCAUAAUCAUUUUCAGGAUUAUCGCAGUCUGCAUGUCGCAAUCCAACUAACCACCAAAAAAGCUAGGAGACUUCCCUUGAAAUGUUCAUGAAGGGCGGAGGCUCUUCUGAUUGCUGCAUAUGGAAAAGGUCUGAAGCCAGACUCAUCGUGCUUCUCCAAAGAAUUGGUUGGUUUAAAAGAGAAAGUUGUCCUUUCAAACGAUGUGGUACCUUGUGAAGAAUGAUCUGCUAACAGAAAAUUAGCCUCUUCAAUACAGAGAUAUCGAUGUUCUUCCGGGUUCUGAACAUCUGUAAGGGUGUGAAUGACAAAUUAUUGUAUGAGAAGUAGCACUGGAGAUGAAGUAACAAGAUCAGAUUCUUGAAGAUUGCUAUUUAUUAUGACCCGUCUGCACUGGAGUCUUAUUGUUGUCAAGUAGUUACGACAAAAUAUCACUGAUACAUUUCAUUGUAGCUCAGUAUUGUAAUUGUGGAGUGGUUAUGUUAAAAUAUCACUACUUUCAUUGUAGCUCAGAAACCUUAGGUGUAGUCUAGAUAGAACAUCAAGGAAUUGUUGAACUAGCGGCAAUCUGUGAAAUGAAGUUGGAGUAUUUAUUUG